This 429-nucleotide ribosomal RNA is filed under the name Gemmatimonadota bacterium. RNAcentral's name for it is "Gemmatimonadetes bacterium partial 16S ribosomal RNA". It matches the Rfam family "Bacterial small subunit ribosomal RNA", at positions 355 to 776 of the family's 1533-position model. The record is from RNAcentral. Lineage: Bacteria; Pseudomonadati; Gemmatimonadota.
UAGGGAAUCUUCGGCAAUGGACGAAAGUCUGACCGAGCAACGCCGCGUGAGUGAAGAAGGUUUUCGGAUCGUAAAACUCUGUUGUUAGAGAAGAACAAGGACGUUAGUAACUGAACGUCCCCUGACGGUAUCUAACCAGAAAGCCACGGCUAACUACGUGCCAGCAGCCGCGGUAAUACGUAGGUGGCAAGCGUUGUCCGGAUUUAUUGGGCGUAAAGCGAGCGCAGGCGGUUUCUUAAGUCUGAUGUGAAAGCCCCCGGCUCAACCGGGGAGGGUCAUUGGAAAAUGUGAGACUUGAGUGCAGAAGAGGAGAGUGGAAUUCCAUGUGUAGCGGUGAAAUGCGUAGAUAUAUGGAGGAACACCAGUGGCGAAGGCGGCUCUCUGGUCUGUAACUGACGCUGAGGCUCGAAAGCGUGGGGAGCAAACAGG